UAAUGUCUGGGAAACUGCCUGAUGGAGGGGGAUAACUACUGGAAACGGUAGCUAAUACCGCAUAACGUCGCAAGACCAAAGAGGGGGACCUUCGGGCCUCUUGCCAUCGGAUGUGCCCAGAUGGGAUUAGCUAGUAGGUGUGGUAACGGCUCACCUAGGCGACGAUCCCUAGCUGGUCUGAGAGGAUGACCAGCCACACUGGAGCUGAGACACAGUCCAG
This 220-nucleotide ribosomal RNA is filed under the name uncultured bacterium. RNAcentral describes it as "partial 16S ribosomal RNA". It matches the Rfam family "Bacterial small subunit ribosomal RNA", at positions 111 to 334 of the family's 1533-position model. The record is from RNAcentral.